AACCCUAUCGAUAAUAAUAAUUGUACCAAAUUUUCGAUGAGACUAUCCAUUGCAUGAAUAGAGAACGGCUGAACGCCUCUAAGCCAGAAUCCGUGCUAGAAGCGAUAACAUUGGUCCCGCACAUGCCUUGUGUUGGAAUAGAGCUUUUGCUCGUACACCAUACGACAGGUAGGGCACAGUUCCGGAAAGGGUGCUGUGUCCCCUGUACAUUACAAUGUGAAACAUGCGCGGGGGAAAAUCCUUUGCAGACGACUUGAAUGGGAACUGGGUGCUGUAAGCAGUAGAGUAGCCUCGUUGCUACGAUCUGCUGAGGCUAAGCCCGGGUUCUAAAGAUUU
Malassezia globosa CBS 7966 is the source of this 336-nucleotide ribosomal RNA. It matches the Rfam family "Eukaryotic large subunit ribosomal RNA", at positions 3004 to 3399 of the family's 3401-position model. Lineage: Eukaryota; Fungi; Basidiomycota; Malasseziomycetes; Malasseziales; Malasseziaceae. The record is from Rfam.